This is a long non-coding RNA of Triticum urartu, 4595 nucleotides long. RefSeq lists it as uncharacterized. The record is from RefSeq and is a predicted model, not a curated record. NCBI's taxonomy places the organism in Eukaryota, Viridiplantae, Streptophyta, Magnoliopsida, Poales, Poaceae.
CUCGCCCCGCACGAGCCCCCCGCAACCCGUCACACCCUACGACCCCCGCCUUCCUCCCGAGCGCCGCCGCCCCUCUAGGCCACUGCGCCGUCGGCCCUCUCCCCCACCGCGCCGCCGGCCCUCUCCCCCACCGCUCCGCCGGCCCUCUCCCCCAUCACGCCGCCGGCCCUCUGCCCCACCGCGCCGCUGCCUCUCUGCCCCACCGAGGAUCAGUUCAAGUCCUCGCGCGAGCCACCGCCCGCCACCUUCCUCCAGCGAGCAACCGCCGGCUGUCUUCCUCGCGCGAGCCAUCGCUGGCCGCCUUCCUCCGGCGAGCAACCUCUGGCCGCAUUCCUCUGGCGAGCCACCGUCGGCCGCCUUCCCCCACCGCGUCUGCCUUAGCAUGCCGCGCCGUGUCUCCACUACCGCCUCUGGUCACGCACCGCCCUGUUCAUGUCUAGCUUGCGUAUGGAACCUGCAAGUUCAACAUUUGUGCUAUAUUCAGUUCUUGUACUCCUCCACGCCAUCCUCGGAACCCCUCACUCGCGCCACGGCCGCAGCUUCACUCCCAUGCGCCACCCUCUGCUGUCGCGCCAUGGCCUGCGCUCAGCGGCUGCGCGUGGAGCCGUUGGGUCGAGGAACUUUGCCUCGACAGUACAACAUCACACUCUGCUGCUGGUCGCGAGAAGAGCUGCUCGCAGGCCACCCCGUGUCCGCCCUCGAUCCGUCUCAGUCAUCUCCCUCUCAUCCUCUCUCUCUCUCUCUCUGGUAUGUGUUUGUAUGCAAGGAGUGGGAGGAGAUAGAGCAGGGGUACGUCGGCAUCUUCCAUGGAGAUUGCGACCUCUCUUGAUUUUUGCUUGAGGAUUUCUCCUCUGGAUCUGUCCACUGUAGUUCCUGUACAGCGGUGUCCUUUUUUCUAGUGUUCCUCGAUGUUGAUGCAUGUGUUUAAUAAGCCACUGAUACGAAUUCUGAAAACAAGCUUCAGUACAAGAAAAAUGGGUCGUUCAGUUCAAUUCUUAAUUAUAGGUGUGUGUAAACACAUCCUGCUUACACAAUAACUAAUUAACUAUGAUAACCAUGUUCAGACUUCUACAAAUCCCAAAACUAUGCAGAGUUAGGAUUGUUACUACCUUGUUUCUUACUAUUGAUUCAUUUUUUAUACUGUAUUGAGAUGGUACAUGUAGUUGACAUCUCAAUAUACUGUAAUGUGUUUUUUUGCAUAGUACCUUGAAAUUAUGUUAGCAAUUCUGAAUUGCAAUUGUGCUUGAAACUAAAAAUGAUUCUGUAACUUCUCAAACCUCGUGGACUUGAUGCUUAAAAUACAUUUCCAGAACAAAUUGAUUCUUGUUAUUUCAUGAUCAGUUCAGCAAAAAAAAUUAGUUCAGUCCAAUUUCAAAUUCUCAUUUUAGUUUAGUCAAAGUUUCUUAUUUUAUUUCAGUACAAUAUCCAAGUUUAUUUCAGUUCAAUUCUUAUUUUAGUUUUAGUUCAUUUCAAUUCUUAUUUUACUCAAUCUGUAGUCUAUGGAUUUUAUUUGGCCUAUAUUGCUAGAUGUACUAACUUGUUGUGCCAAGGAAAUCUAAAACAUUAAGUGUUGGUACUGUAAUUCAUUCAUUGUUAAACGCCUUCCUGCGGACGCGCACCCCCACCUCCCUGCCGACGCGCGCCCCCCGCCUCCUCGUCGACGUGCGCCGCCAUGCCUUCCUACAGACGCGCGCCGCUCCACCGUCUCAGCGCCCAUGCCGUUCAAACUCAGCCACCUAGGCCGUUAAGCACCGCCACCAGAGUCCGUUCAGUUGGCGGUGUUCCUGCAGCUGCAAAUGUGGUGCUCACAGUAGUAGGCGCUGGUUGUGUUGGAUAAAAUUCCUAGGAGCUCCCAUGAUUUAUACAUGGAACCCAGAUGAUUCCGUUUCUUCAUUCCCCCAAGUGCUUCAAUGCUGGCUCCUUCUCGUCUGGCUCGAUCGCUGCUGGAUUAGGUGGGCGUAGGUGUGGGUUUACAGGGAAGCUGGCACCGCUCUCGUGUUAUUUUCUCUAGCGAUUGAGAAAUUGAUACUCUCUUUUUAAUGUGUAAGUUUAUCUGCUCACAACUUUUUGUGUGAAAAUCAAAUAGCUUGAGAAUAGCAACCUGUUCGAGCUUAUCUGAGAGGAUUUUGAAUCGUUGUGCGAGGAAGUGUGGACAUGGCCUUGACAUAAUGCAUGCUGCUUUAUUCAUAAAGAGACGUGGUGUUGAUUUUAUUCAUAGGAAACUGAACCGAAACAGUGGUUGCUACUAGUGUUUGGAAAUUAUAAUUACUAGAACUCUUAUUUCUCACCCUUUUAAUUGCUGGCUAAUUCUUGUAAAAAGUAGUGGUUAAUCUUGCUAAUGACUUUGAUGUGAUGCCUAGGUGGUCAGUCCAGCUCCUGCAACCAGCACAGGUCGUUGCCCCUUUUGCGGCCUCUGGGCAAGCCCUGCUCAUGUAUGCUUACACCAAAAGUACAACUCUUGUUACUCUCCUCAUACUUGCACUUGCUUAUUUUCUAAGCAAUAAUUCCUAUUGCUUCCUCUUGGGGAAAGGGAUCCCAUGUUGGAGCUGUCUUGGUGCUCACCCGUUGUUUAUAUUCAUCACCAUAGUGUACGAAACAUAUGAAAACCAUUCUGGCUUCGGGAGAAAAUAUAACCAGUACAUGUGCAAUUGCGCGAGAAGUUCCUUUAUGAAAGUUCCUUGUAAACAAACCACAUGGAAGUUCGUCAAGAAAAACUUUGUAAGUUCAAAAUGGCUAUAGGAAGGUUCAUAUGGGUAUAUAAAACUUUGUAAGUUCAAAAUGGGCACGCCUAACAGUGCGUGAAUAAAAAAACUAAACCCAACAAAGUCCAUGUUGGUCGGUCUACAUUGUGUUGUCAAGAAGGUUGUUGGCCUUGGAGGCCGACACUGGUUGAUCAUCUACCUUCCAAUUAUUGUUAGGCAUAUACCACUGAAACUGCAGGUCACGCCGUCCUCCCGCCGUAGGUGGUGCCCUCCUCCCGCAUAGCCUAUUGGUUGGUGUACCGUGACCCCUCAUAUUUUUGGUAUGAAUUUGAUGAAUCUUCUUGAUGCUCUGUUCUUAUUCAUCUAGAGAUUCCUCCUCAUAUUGAUUGUUUGUAUUGCUUGUACCGGUUUCGUUCUUGCAUGUAUGUAUCAGUUCGAUGUUUUGAGAUAGCUCAGAUUACUUUCAACUGUGAAAGAUUGACAUGCAUAAAAGCUUCCAACUGUGAAGCUUCACGACCAUUCAGUAAACAAAAGGAAAACAAAAUGCAGGUGUUCGUCGCAUGUGUUCGUUCAAUAAGGGCUUCGGUGACGGUCCGCUGUUGGUGGCCGCCUCAUCGUGGUUAAGUUUGACGUAGUCGCAUGUGUCGCUUGCUGUUGUGGCCGUUCUCCAGGUACAUAGCGUUGUUCCUAUUCAUGCCUGUGUAUGUAGUGCUGCCCCGUUAAAUCAUUUGUUCAUCUAGUUUGUUCCAACCACGCUGGAUGCCUAGUACUAGUAGCUUGCACUAGCCUCUACAUGAGCAUCUCAAGCUGUUGUUAAUAAAUGUGAAUAGUACUGAUUGUUUUGCUUGAAUUGGCGUCUCAGAUUAUACUGGAGCAUGUGUUUUCACAGAUAGUUCAUGUUCCAGAUUGCCAAAAGUUCGAACAUAGUGAGAUGGAUGGGAAACUACGAGACAGAGAUGAUACUAGACAAAGAAAAAUUAGUAAAAGAAAGAAAACACUAGAAGUUCAACUAGGGUAACUUAAAAAGUUCGUGAAAAAUAAAUAUAAAAGUUCAGAGAAGAGGGUUGGAAAAGAUUUGGGAAAAGACACACACAAAAAACAUGGAAAAGGUCAGUUCAAAAAUACUUGCCACAAGUAGUUAAAAGUUUAUUUGGAGUAGUUAGCAAUUCAGUAACUAGAAAAAGGAUAUGUCCAUUCAAAUAUACUUGCCAGAAGUACUUAAGAGUUUAUUUGUUGUGGUUAAAUAAAUUGAGCUAAUUUUCUGCAGUUCUUAGGUUAGAAAAAGGUUUCACUUCACUUUGCUGAAGUUCAUCUAGGAUCUUGGAAUCCGAUGUGGUAUGUGGCAAGGUACAUCCAACGACAACGAGCAUGCGCCAAGUGUACUUAUGAGCAGUGGGACGGUGGCAUGGUGCAGUUGAGUAGGCGUGCGUGGUGACCAGCUACAGAACUGAUUCUGACACUACAAAAUUAGUCCGACACACCCUCUUAACACCCCCUGCUUGAACCUUCACGGCCCAGGUCGUUCACUGCCUCGACAUGAGGCCGUUCAACGAUGCAGCGCUCAGGCCGUUCAACCUUACCACCACAAGCUGUUCACCUCUGCCACACGAGGCCGUGCGACGACGCAGUGAUCAGACCGUUCACCUCUGCCAUAGGAGGCCGAUGCAAACGCUAAGGAGUUAUGUUCUUUUUCAGUACAUGUUUUGUGUGCUUUUUAGUACACCUACUUAACGAUUCUUUGUCCAAUUUCCUCUGUUUACGUGUUCUUCCUAUAGCACAACAGGUGUUGUGUGUUAUGCCUUAAUAAGCAUUUGAGAAAAUCUUGUAUGAUCUAAACUAGCAUAUGUUCUGUUCUGUUCUUGUAAAUGAAGCUCCACUUCUGUUUUGUUUGAA